This 816-nucleotide ribosomal RNA is filed under the name Triticum aestivum (bread wheat). RNAcentral describes it as "partial small subunit ribosomal RNA". The record is from RNAcentral. Lineage: Eukaryota; Viridiplantae; Streptophyta; Magnoliopsida; Poales; Poaceae.
AUGCAGAAACUAUUGCAUUCCACUGAAGGAGAGUACUCCAAAUUGUUUAACUAUCAGUUAGAGCUCCUAAGAACUAACCCUGGAAGCACGGUAGCAGUAAAGUUGGACCAAGAUGAAAAUGAUGAAUCAUAUGUAUUUCAAAGGUUCUACGUGUGUUUUGAUGCCUUGAAGAAAGCUCUCCUGGCAGGCUGUAGAAAAGUUGUAGGCCUUGAUGGUUGUUUUAAGGGUGCUUUCUAUGGACAGAUGUUGUGUGCUAUAGGAAGAGAUCCAAAUAACCAGAUGUAUCCUAUUGCUUGGGCAAUUGUCGAGAAAGAGGCAUAUGAGUCAUGGUUCUAGUUUCUUACGAAAAUAAACAAGGACUUGAAAACAAGUAAUCAAGGAGAUGGGUGGGUAUUUAUGCUAGAUUAGCAAAAGGGACUUAUAGGGGAAAUUGAGUACAUUUUUCCUAAAGCUGAGCAUAGAAUGUGUGCAAGACACAUAUAUGCUAAUUGUAAGAAAUAGCACCUUGACCAUGAACUUCAGAAAAGGUUUUGGAGAUGUGCAAAAUCUCCAAAUAGAGUGAUCUUCAACUACAAUAGGGCAAGGCUAGCACAAUUUAUUGUUGAGGGUGCAAAAGAUAUGAUGAACACUGGUCCAGUUCAUUGGAGUAGGGCCUACAUGAAACUGGGGUCCAAUUGUGAUUCAAUGGAUAACAACAUGUGUUUCAACAACUACAUCCUACUAGCUAGGUACCUUGCUAUUAUCUCUAUGCUUGAGUGGAUUAGAUGUAAAGUUAUGGUCAGGGUACAAGAAAAUAGAGGAAGUCAGUUAACUUGA